UUAAUGUUUGUUUAUCAAAUCAAUUAUAAGUUGACUAUAUUUACUAUUCCGACUCGACAUUCAAUUUAUUUUUUAAACUUAUUUUAAUUUGAACAAUCAAAAUUAACUUGACCAAGUGCAACGCACGAGCAUUUUUCUAUUCUUAUUCUUAUUAUCCUAUAGUGCACAAACUUAAUUUACUUAUCAUCGUCAUCAUGUGACACAUACUAACGGCCUAAAUCUGUCCACGUCGAAUCGGAUGCCAUACGAACACGGCCUAAUUAACCCCUUUUAUAUCCAAGCAUCUUCCUAUCCCCCGUUGUCAACACCCGGUGUGGUACUAAAACAAACCUGCUCUCCCGGCCCAUUGGCCAUUUCAGCGAUGGACUUGCUCUCGAGGUUGCGAACUUGAUUGCAGGAGGCCGAGGAGGACAUGGCUGCAACCGUAGAAUGAGCUCCGUUUCCAGCAGCAGAGUGGGCAGCUCAAAUCGGGUACGUUGCGUGCCCGCCUUUUUCCGACGCGAGACGGAGAGAGAGCGGUGGCGGCCGUCCAGCCGGCGCGGCGGGCGUUAAGGCCGGCCGGCCCAGUGGCUCGAGCGCGCGAGCGAUCUCGUCUCCCCAUCUGCCCCUGCGUGCGCGUAGUCAAUGCGCGCGCGAGCGAUCUCGUCUCCUCGUACUAGUACAAAAGAGAGGGCACGCGGUGGCGCGUAGGUACAGCUACUCGCUCGUCCUCGCGGCGCCGGGGCGUCGGCAUGGCGAUGGCUGCUCGUCUAGCGCUCGGCGUCUUACUCUUGUUCUUCGUCGUCGUCGUGGUGCAGGCGCAGCAGCGAGGCGGAGGCGGAGGCGGAGGCGGAGGCGGCGGCACGACGCUCCNNNN
Molecule: long non-coding RNA, 856 nt
Filed under: Oryza brachyantha (malo sina)
Lineage: Eukaryota; Viridiplantae; Streptophyta; Magnoliopsida; Poales; Poaceae
Description: long non-coding RNA (OBRA_LNC000512)
Source: RNAcentral